This 1801-nucleotide long non-coding RNA is filed under the name Homo sapiens (human). RNAcentral describes it as "HSALNT0306406". Lineage: Eukaryota; Metazoa; Chordata; Mammalia; Primates; Hominidae. The record is from RNAcentral.
GAUCUCCUGACCUCGUGACCUGCCCAGCUCGGCCUCCCAAAGUGCUGGGAUUACAGGCAUGAGCCAUUGCGCCUAACCUCAGAAACCAUUUUUAUAACCUCAAUACCUAAUAGAAACUGGCACAUGGGCAACUUUGCAAAUUAAAUGGUUCACAUAUGAAGGAGCACAGCUGUAGAAGGAAAAUAAGGAAGAGAAAAUAACUUCGGAAAAUUCCCAGGACUCAUACUCUAAAGGUCAUGGUUCCAGUACCAGCUUGGCUAGUAAUUAAUUGGAUUUUGGUCUUAGAUAAAUACAGACUUCUAGAUCUGUUUCUUCACAUAUAAAAUGAGAAUAAUCACCACAGUCCUGAUCUAAUAUACUAAGAUUUAGUGUCAAAAAGAAGUGUGGUUCCAAGAGUCAGUUAUUGUGCAAGUGGGUAGAAGUGCUUUAGAGUAAAUAUAAAUUCUGACUCUUUGCUACUUUCUUACUAGACAGUUAGACAAGUCAUUUAGAACUCUAUAGAUCAGCAAAAUAGGUAUAACAUUUUCUGUUUCAUAUUUGUUUUCUAGGUUUAAAUGAGAGAAUGAGUAUCAAAAAGUAUAGCAUGUGCCUCCGUAGGAAAAGUUUGGUAAAUCUCAGCAGCUAAUUAUAGGAAUAAUCAUGGUGGAAAAAGGCAGCAGCAGUAUUUCAAAGCCAGUUGCUUUCAGGGGAGAAAAUGACUGCAAGGUUAACAAAACUUAGCCAAAACCUGAUUGAAAAUAGGGAUAUGAUUCAAAAUGGCAGAUGGCAACCCUAAGUAAGAUUAUUUAGCAAUAGAAGCAUAGAUACAGAGGAGCCAUUGAGAACACAUAAGCAAUGAUUAUCUGAGCUCUAUGAAUGAAGAUCUAGUGUCAGAUGAAUGUGAGUGUAGGUCCACUGAGCGAAUACAUUUCUAUGAAAGGAAUUCACGUAUCAAGUUUUGAGCCCUGAUGGUAUCAAAUAUUCAAAAAGUUGUAAACACCCCUUCUUGUUCUGAUUCCAAAAUAAUCUAACAACUAUAUAAUUAUUUUUAUGUUUAUAUAUUCAUCUAUAUAGAGAAAAUGUAAUGAUCAGGCUAACAUGAGAAUUCAUUCAUUCUGCCUGACACAUCUCUCACUGGGAGUUGACAAUCUAAUGUUCUGAAUUUCUAUUCCAGCCCCUGUGAGCUGUGACUGCAAGAGUCAGCACCUAAAUUAGAUCAACACUACAACAUCAAAAAGCCAGCUUGAUGGCACAGCGGGGAGUGAGGAAGACUCGGUGGACAAAUCUGACUGGAAAACAAGUAGGCGUUGCAGAUGAAGACCUGGAACCAUGGUAGGAAGUGGGACAGGGAGCAUUUGGACAAGCUGUUCAAGAACUGAUCAUGCUCAUGUGUAUGGGAAAACAGAUGGAGGAAGAGAAAUUCCUGAAGAGCACAAGACUGGUGGGGCAAGGAACAAGCCUACUGAGAUGAGUUGCAGAUUUGAAGAUGGGAGAAAUGGUUUCGUUGUCUACCAUGUAAAAACUCAUUUAUGCAAGAUGCUUGAUAUCUGAAUUUCAAUUUCUUCAUUAUCAAAAUGAAUAUUAAAAAUACUCUACUUCUUAGAGUUGUCAAAAAGAUACGGAGAUGUGAAUAAUUUGAAAUUAUUAUCUAUAUGUAAAGUAUUACUAUAUUUACUAUCCUUAUCAAAUAUUUAUCCUACUGUCUAACACAUUAAAUGGACAAAAUAGAACAUUUGAAGGGUGUAGAUCUUGAAAGUUUAAUUUUACAUAAAAAAGGCCAGAAACCUUUCCUAAGAAAAAUGUACAUAUUGCAAAAUGUAGC